GAUGAACGCUGGCGGCGUGCCUAAUACAUGCAAGUCGAGCGAACAGACGAGGAGCUUGCUCCUCUGACGUUAGCGGCGGACGGGUGAGUAACACGUGGAUAACCUACCUAUAAGACUGGGAUAACUUCGGGAAACCGGAGCUAAUACCGGAUAAUAUAUUGAACCGCAUGGUUCAAUAGUGAAAGACGGUUUUGCUGUCACUUAUAGAUGGAUCCGCGCGGCAUUAGCUAGUUGGUAAGGUAACGGCUUACCAAGGCAACGAUGCGUAGCCGACCUGAGAGGGUGAUCGGCCACACUGGAACUGAGACACGGUCCAGACUCCUACGGGAGGCAGCAGUAGGGAAUCUUCCGCAAUGGGCGAAAGCUUGACGGAGCAACGCCGCGUGAGUGAUGAAGGUCUUCGGAUCGUAAAACUCUGUUAUUAGGGAAGAACAAAUGUGUAAGUAACUAUGCACGUCUUGACGGUACCUAAUCAGAAAGCCACGGCUAACUACGUG
This 497-nucleotide ribosomal RNA is filed under the name uncultured bacterium. RNAcentral describes it as "partial 16S ribosomal RNA". It matches the Rfam family "Bacterial small subunit ribosomal RNA", at positions 28 to 507 of the family's 1533-position model. The record is from RNAcentral.